UGUUGCUGUGUCAAACUGAGAGAUGUAAGGGAGGAGAGAGAGACAAGGCCAGAUGUUGCUGUGUCAAACUGAGAGAUGUAAGGGAGGAGAGAGAGACAAGGCCAGAUGUUGCUGUGUCAAACCGAGAGCUGUAAGGGAGGAGAGAGAGACAAGGCCAGAUGUUGCUGUGUCAAACAGAGAUGUAAGGGAGGAGAGAGAGACAAGGCCAGAUGUUGCUGUGUCAAACUGAGAGCUGUAAGGGAGGAGAGAGAGACAAGGCCAGAUGUUGCUGUGUCAAACUGAGAGAUGUAAGGGAGGAGAGAGAGACAAGGCCAGAUGUUGCUGUGUCAAACCGAGAGCUGUAAGGGAGGAGAGAGAGACAAGGCCAGAUGUUGCUGUGUCAAACCGAGAGCUGUGUUCGAGGUCUGGGCCCGCUUCUCUGUGGUGGAUUGUUCUCUGUCUGUGUGUGUGUGUGUGUGUUCGUGUCAUUUUGUUCCAGGAUUGCAAUGACGAGGUGUGUGAGAGAUCAGAGGGCUCUCUCUCCCUACCUCCCUCACCUCCCUCUCUCUGUUUCUGUCUCUCUCCUUUUCUCAUUCAGACACACACAGAGGUGAGAUCAGGGGUUUUGAGAGAGCGACAGCGGGCCUAUAACCGCUCCUACGAAACUCCCUCCCACACGUACGUAACGUACAGACAGACACAGACCACACACACACACACACAUGUAGCAGAGCUGUGCCGUGAUCACGCUGAAAGGAUGAAUGGUUGAGUCUGAGAACCAGUUACUACCUGGAUCGGCGGCUGACA
This is a long non-coding RNA of Oncorhynchus kisutch (coho salmon), 786 nucleotides long. RefSeq lists it as uncharacterized. The transcript has 2 exons. The record is from RefSeq and is a predicted model, not a curated record. NCBI's taxonomy places the organism in Eukaryota, Metazoa, Chordata, Actinopteri, Salmoniformes, Salmonidae.